Salvelinus sp. IW2-2015 is the source of this 693-nucleotide long non-coding RNA. RefSeq lists it as uncharacterized. The record is from RefSeq and is a predicted model, not a curated record. Lineage: Eukaryota; Metazoa; Chordata; Actinopteri; Salmoniformes; Salmonidae.
UAGGCGUGCUAGCGAUCCAUACAUAGGCUACUGCAGCUGUGGCACAUAUGACUUUUUGUUGUGAAUCGGUCCGGCAACUAUAGUUGCUCGGUUGAAGUUACCUGCGGCGGUGGGAUUGGCUACUUCCGAGUGGCGCGUGCGGGUGAACAUGUAGACAGUAUUCUAUUUGGCCUUUAGACCUAUUUGUCCUUAUAUUAUGACCGAAUUAGACUAUUGGAAAUAGAAAGUCCAUAGACAUUUCAGUUCAGUAUAUUUGGCUAGGCGGUGUAGCUUUUUAAUUCGCUCUGUUGUGGUAGUAGGCUAAGAUAACGUCAGCUGUAGCGAGCAAUUUCGCUUGAGGAUCUCAAAGAAACCGUCUGGCUGCAGUUCUCUACAGCGGCUACCGGUUGUCGGCAGGCUAUUUGCUGCUGAUGCGAAGCGGCUAGUGAGGCUGGAGAGAGAGUCAAGCAAGAGAGCUGUGCUGGGUGUCUGCCCCCUUUGUAGUGGGAUCAGGAUCAGGACUAUGGUUCAUGUUCCUCAUAGAGACAUGUAGCACCUCACUGCCUCAGUAUCUGGACACCUGGACACCUCCAGACACCUGAACACCUCCGAACACCUGAACACCUCUGAACACCUGCCUAGCCUGCUAUCUAUUUAUGUUAUUUAGAUACUGGACACUACUGCUUGCUGCUCAGCUAUAGAGGAUGAUGAUGA